UUGCUAUCUGCAAUUUAUAAGAUUCGAACCUGCAGCAGGUCGAGUCGAACGCAGUGAGACAACGGAGCCGUUUACGGCGACGGCCCGAAGGGCGAGCGAAGCGAGUCAUCCUGCACAACCCACCA
RNAcentral lists this small RNA (125 nucleotides) under Citrobacter braakii. RNAcentral's name for it is "RtT sRNA". It matches the Rfam family "RtT RNA". Rfam says of the family: This family represents a bacterial cis-regulatory element known as RtT RNA. Lineage: Bacteria; Pseudomonadati; Pseudomonadota; Gammaproteobacteria; Enterobacterales; Enterobacteriaceae. The record is from RNAcentral.